GCAAACUGAACCCAGGGGACUGCAACGGAGGCUGGCAGGACCUCCCCAGUACUGUGCCUGUGCCCAGCCUCUUGCUCUUGGCCAGAGGGCACAUGCCAGAAAAGAGGGUGCCGGACUUCUAAAACAUGCAAAAAGUGCUGGCUGAUGGAGCCCUGCGAGCAUUGAUCUGAACAGCUUGUGAACCAUUACUAUCUAGAAGUGUCAAGUAAGAUUAGAACAAACAUCAAGCAAAGAUGAAAUAAAUAGCUAUUGUAUGGGCAGAAAUGGAUUUUCAGUUUCCACAGUAAAUAAAAUAAUGUGCUGUCUUUGUCAGUGCCCCUGUGAUGAUACAGUUUGCAGGAUUUUUACUGGCAAGCUGCCAUACUUACUUUCAUUUAUCUGCCUCAAAGCACCAUUUCAAAAAGUGCAAAAGCAUGUUGUUGAUAGAGUAGAUUGUUUAUAGCUGAAUUGAGUAUUUCAGAACAACAUGCAUUGUAAUAAAGCGGGGGAGGGGACGAGGAAGCCAGCACAGCUGCAGCUUCUUGAAUCCUUUGUCAAAAAUCAAUGCCAGAAAGCAAAGCUGAGACGUAUUUAUUCUGUCUCAGUAAAUGCAAUACGCAACCCCCUCACCGCUCUGCUCCCUGACAAGUGCUAACAAAGACCCUGGAGUCUUGGAGGCCUGCGUUACCUCGCACCAACGGUGCUGGCAUCUCGGGAGGGUUGCCUGGUACUCCCCACAGGCUCCUUGAUGGCCAGCAGAUCCUGGAGGGCCCGCCACCCCUGAGCACCACCACGGUUCUGCUGCUGCUCCUAGAUGAUGCGCAGCACACGGUACAACAACUCCUUCAGUGAUCUAAGGGCAACCUUGGACUGCGGAGAGAGAGAGGAGGAGGGUAUUAAAAAUAACAGUAUAAAUAACAUGAAGGUGUUUUUAGAGCAAAGGAACACAGCUCUGGUGACCUGCUGCUGCCAGAGCCAGCCAGCUGAGAGGGACAUGGAUCUGGGUCAGCCCACCGCAGAAGUUAGCAUCUUGGUUAUCUGGAAUGCAGAUGCUGGGCAAAUUCAGAAGCUCUGGAAUGCUUGCAAGCUGUGCUCCCUAUGCAGUAGACGCCAAAGAUAAUGGAGUAAAAGACAGUCAAGAUCUCAUCCAACAUCUACUGAAUUCAACAAGAGCCCUUUUACUGACUGUGUGGAGAUGUGGAGAAGGGCUCCAAGAGCACCUUUCUGUCAAUAGAGACCUCACCAAAUCCAGAACAACGCAAAGGAAGUGGGUCAAAUCAGUCAAAGACAGCACAGACACUGGAAGGGAGACCUCAGUGCCAGACUUAGUACACUCAUAAUGUGCAAACAGGGCAAGACUUCUAAAGACACGAGGCUGAUGGUGUCCCAGUUC
RNAcentral lists this long non-coding RNA (1372 nucleotides) under Cairina moschata (Muscovy duck). RNAcentral's name for it is "domestica (muscovy Duck (domestic type)) lncRNA (ENSCMMG00000014513.1)". Lineage: Eukaryota; Metazoa; Chordata; Aves; Anseriformes; Anatidae. The record is from RNAcentral.